GGUUAGGAAUAAUGAUUUGAUAGGUUUUAGAGAAUGAAAAUUUUAAAUAAAUGAUGUUUUUUGGAGAAAAGUUUAGAGAUUAUAGUAAGAGGGAAUGGGUAAUGGGUUGUUAGAGGUAUAUAUUUAUUAAGUUUUUAUUUGUUGUUGUAAUUUAUUUGUGUUUUGUUUUGUUUAGAUUUGGAAAAUUAUAUUUUAUUUUUG
RNAcentral lists this unclassified non-coding RNA (201 nucleotides) under Hevea brasiliensis (rubber tree). The record is from RNAcentral. Lineage: Eukaryota; Viridiplantae; Streptophyta; Magnoliopsida; Malpighiales; Euphorbiaceae.